GGGAAGGUGAGGGAAGUGUCCCCAGGGGAAGCGACACCUGACUCAAGUAGGGGCAGGAGUUUUCCAGUCAGAAGGCAGCACAGGUGGGGCUAGAAGCCUGGGCGGGAGCUUGGGCAUAUGCGCUCUGUAAGCCAGAGUGAGGAGUUUCAGUUUUAUUCAAAGUGCAAUAAGAUGUCAUCAAAGGGUGACUAAUGAGGCAAUCGCCCUUUGUAUCCUUGGGGGUGCCACAGCACAUGUCACCUUUAGAUGGUUCUACACAAUGUCCUCUCCUGACUUUAAGAUGGGUUAAAAAUGUUUUUCUUCUUCCUUGAGUUGGACGAUAAGAGACCUCAGUAUCUGCAGAAGUUCUUAACUGACCUCGGAGAGGAGAGGGCCUCUGCAUCUGCAGGCACCUGUUCUGGAAUGGACAGUCAAGGUCCUGCGAGCUCGGAGUCCACGUCAGCAUUUUUGAAUUGGAAGCUUGUGUUGAAUUCAGCCAGAUAGGAACUUCAUGAAUCCUGAGACCACUAUGCUGAGACCACUCUAGCCUACUGGAGAAUGAGUAGCCACGUGGGGGAGAUAACUGAGGCCUGUGGCUGACAGGCAGCACAACUUGCAUGCGUGAGGCCACCACGGACCUUCCAGCCCAGUCCAGCCAUUGGGCAAGUCCAACAGAAGAACUGCC
RNAcentral lists this long non-coding RNA (664 nucleotides) under Equus asinus (donkey). RNAcentral describes it as "lncRNA (ENSEASG00005031379.1)". The record is from RNAcentral. Lineage: Eukaryota; Metazoa; Chordata; Mammalia; Perissodactyla; Equidae.